AGUAAAAGUCGUAACAAGGUUUCCGUAGGUGAACCUGCGGAAGGAUCAUUACAAAUGUCUGGGAUGUCCUAUCGGACCCCCAAGCAAACACAUCUAUGUGUACUCUGCCAUGUUGCUUCCCCAGACCAGUGGCCACUGCUGCCAGCCCAGUCCCUAAUGGGUUCCUGGGUUGAGGUGUCUGGGGAAGGGCUCAAUAUCAAACUUUUCAACCCACUAGUCGUCUGAGAAGGCCAUGUGCCGCAAUAUUUAAACAAGUUAAAACUUUCAACAACGGAUCUCUUGGCUCUCGCAUCGAUGAAGAACGCAGCGAAAUGCGAUAAGUAAUGUGAAUUGCAGAAUUCAGUGAAUCAUCGAAUCUUUGAACGCACAUUGCGCCCUUUGGUAUUCCUUAGGGCAUGCCUGUUCGAGCGUCACUAAAAACCGACUCACAUAUCAUGUGGUAUUGGUAGAAGCGGAUAGUAAUAACACAAGCAUAUCAAUAUGCGGAGGAGCAUAUCAAUAAGCGAAGGAGCAUAUCAAUAAGCGUCGGAGCAUAUCAAUAAGCGGAGGAGCAUAUCAAUAAGCGGAGGAGCAUAUCAAUAAGCGGAGGAGCAUAUCAAUAAGCGGAGGA
RNAcentral lists this ribosomal RNA (610 nucleotides) under uncultured Tuber. Its description in RNAcentral is "eukaryotic LSU rRNA". The stretch from base 260 to 413 matches the Rfam family "5.8S ribosomal RNA". Lineage: Eukaryota; Fungi; Ascomycota; Pezizomycetes; Pezizales; Tuberaceae. The record is from RNAcentral.